GACGUAGGUGGCGAACGUUAUCCGGAAUUACUGGGCGUAAAGGGUGCGUAGGUGGUUGAUUAAGUUAUCUGUGAAAUUCCUGGGCUUAACCUGGGCAGGUCAGAUGAUACUGAUUAACUCGAGUAUUGUAGAGGGUAGUGGAAUUUCCGGUGUAGCGGUGAAAUGCGUAGAGAUCGGAAGGAACAUCGGUGGCGAAGGCGGCUACCUGGACAGAUACUGACACUGAGGCACGAAAGCGUGGGGAGCGAACAGG
Molecule: ribosomal RNA, 253 nt
Filed under: uncultured bacterium
Lineage: Bacteria
Description: partial 16S ribosomal RNA
Rfam family: Bacterial small subunit ribosomal RNA
Source: RNAcentral